This 466-nucleotide ribosomal RNA is filed under the name uncultured bacterium. Its description in RNAcentral is "partial 16S ribosomal RNA". It matches the Rfam family "Bacterial small subunit ribosomal RNA", at positions 28 to 507 of the family's 1533-position model. The record is from RNAcentral.
GAUGAACGCUGGCGGCGUGCUUAACACAUGCAAGUCGAACGGAAAGGCCCAAGCUUGCUUGGGUACUCGAGUGGCGAACGGGUGAGUAACACGUGGGUGAUCUGCCCUGCACUUCGGGAUAAGCCUGGGAAACUGGGUCUAAUACCGGAUAGGACCACAUUUUGGAUGGUGUGGUGGAAAGUUUUUCGGUGUGGGAUGAACUCGCGGCCUAUCAGCUUGUUGGUGGGGUAAUGGCCUACCAAGGCGUCGACGGGUAGCCGGCCUGAGAGGGUGUACGGCCACAUUGGGACUGAGAUACGGCCCAGACUCCUACGGGAGGCAGCAGUGGGGAAUAUUGCACAAUGGGCGCAAGCCUGAUGCAGCGACGCCGCGUGGGGGAUGACGGCCUUCGGGUUGUAAACUCCUUUCGCUAGGGACGAAGCGUUAUGUGACGGUACCUGGAGAAGAAGCACCGGCUAACUACGUG